This 440-nucleotide ribosomal RNA is filed under the name uncultured bacterium. Its description in RNAcentral is "partial 16S ribosomal RNA". It matches the Rfam family "Bacterial small subunit ribosomal RNA", at positions 338 to 795 of the family's 1533-position model. The record is from RNAcentral.
CCUACGGGAGGCAGCAGUGGGGAAUAUUGCACAAUGGGCGAAACCCUGAUGCAGCGACGCCGCGUGAGUGAAGAAGUAAUUCGUUAUGUAAAGUUCUACCAGCAGGGAAGAAAAUGACGGUACCUGCAUAAGAAGCCCCGGCUAACUACGUGCCAGCAGCCGCGGUAAUACGUAGGGGGCAAGCGUUAUCCGGAUUUACUGGGUGUAAAGGGAGCGUAGACGGCAGUGAAAGUCUGGAGUGAAAGGCGGGGGCUCAACCUCCGGACUGCUCUGGAUACUGUACGGCUGGAGUGCAGGAGAGGUAAGUGGAAUUCCUAGUGUAGCGGUGAAAUGCUUAGAUAUUAGGAGGAACAUCAGUGGCGAAAGCGGCUUACUGGACUGUAACUGACGCUGAGGCUCGAAAGCGUGGGUAGCAAACAGGAUUAGAUACCCCGGUAGUC